Molecule: ribosomal RNA, 677 nt
Filed under: Staphylococcus pseudintermedius
Lineage: Bacteria; Bacillati; Bacillota; Bacilli; Caryophanales; Staphylococcaceae
Description: partial 23S ribosomal RNA
Rfam family: Bacterial large subunit ribosomal RNA
Source: RNAcentral
AGCCUCAAGUGAUGAUUAUUGGAGGUAGAGCACUGUUUGGACGAGGGGCCCCUCUCGGGUUACCGAAUUCAGACAAACUCCGAAUGCCAAAUAAUUUAACUUGGGAGUCAGAAUGUGGGUGAUAAGGUCCAUAUUCGAAAGGGAAACAGCCCAGACCACCAGCUAAGGUCCCAAAAUAUAUGUUAAGUGGAAAAGGAUGUGGCGUUGCCCAGACAACUAGGAUGUUGGCUUAGAAGCAGCCAUCAUUUAAAGAGUGCGUAAUAGCUCACUAGUCGAGUGACACUGCGCCGAAAAUGUACCGGGGCUAAACAUAUUACCGAAGCUGUGGAUUGUCCAUUGGACAAUGGUAGGAGAGCGUUCUAAGGGCGUUGAAGCAUGAUCGCAAGGACAUGUGGAGCGCUUAGAAGUGAGAAUGCCGGUGUGAGUAGCGAAAGACGGGUGAGAAUCCCGUCCACCGAUUGACUAAGGUUUCCAGAGGAAGGCUCGUCCGCUCUGGGUUAGUCGGGUCCUAAGCUGAGGCCGACAGGCGUAGGCGAUGGAUAACAGGUUGAUAUUCCUGUACCACCAUUAUUCGUUUUAAGCGAUGGGGGGACGCAGUAGGAUAGGCGAAGCGUGCUGUUGGAGUGCACGUCCAAGCAGUGAGAUUGAGUGUUAGGCAAAUCCGGCACUCUUAAGAU